Chania multitudinisentens RB-25 is the source of this 115-nucleotide regulatory RNA element. It matches the Rfam family "RtT RNA". From Rfam's summary of the family: This family represents a bacterial cis-regulatory element known as RtT RNA. The record is from Rfam. NCBI's taxonomy places the organism in Bacteria, Pseudomonadati, Pseudomonadota, Gammaproteobacteria, Enterobacterales, Yersiniaceae.
UAACGCACGAUGUCGUGCGGGUGAGAACCUGCGUUCAAGUUCGAGCCGAGCGAAGCGAGACGACAACGCGCAGCGUUGCCCGUAGGGCGACGAGUCAAUCCUGCACGACCCACCA